UCAAACACCCGAUCCCAUCCCGAACUCGGCCGUGAAAAGCCUCCGCGCCAAUGGUACUGCGUCUUAAGACGUGGGAGAGUAGGUCGCCGCCAGGU
RNAcentral lists this ribosomal RNA (95 nucleotides) under Azospirillum melinis. Lineage: Bacteria; Pseudomonadati; Pseudomonadota; Alphaproteobacteria; Rhodospirillales; Azospirillaceae. The record is from RNAcentral.